GACGAACGCUGGCGGCGUGCUUAACACAUGCAAGUCGAACGGAAAGGCUCCAGCUUGCUGGAGUACUCGAGUGGCGAACGGGUGAGUAACACGUGGGUAAUCUGCCCUGCACUCUGGGAUAAGCCUGGGAAACUGGGUCUAAUACUGGAUAUGACCUUUCUCCUUAUGGGGUUUGGUGGAAAGUUUUUCGGUGUAGGAUGAGCCCGCGGCCUAUCAGCUUGUUGGUGGGGUGAUGGCUUACCAAGGCGACGACGGGUAGCCGGUCUGAGAGGGUGAUCGGCCACAUUGGGACUGAGAUACGGCCCAGACUCCUACGGGAGGCAGCAGUGGGGAAUAUUGCACAAUGGGCGGAAGCCUGAUGCAGCGACGCCGCGUGAGGGAUGACGGCCUUCGGGUUGUAAACCUCUUUCAGCAGGGACGAAGCGUAAGUGACGGUACCUGCAGAAGAAGCACCGGCUAACUAUGUG
RNAcentral lists this ribosomal RNA (467 nucleotides) under uncultured bacterium. Its description in RNAcentral is "partial 16S ribosomal RNA". It matches the Rfam family "Bacterial small subunit ribosomal RNA", at positions 28 to 507 of the family's 1533-position model. The record is from RNAcentral.